RNAcentral lists this ribosomal RNA (371 nucleotides) under uncultured bacterium. Its description in RNAcentral is "bacterial SSU rRNA". It matches the Rfam family "Bacterial small subunit ribosomal RNA", at positions 527 to 896 of the family's 1533-position model. The record is from RNAcentral.
GGAGGGGGCAAGCGUUAUUCGGAAUCAUUGGGCGUAAAGGGCGCGUAGGCGGCUUGGCAAGUCAAAGGUGAAAUCCCUCGGCCUAACCGAGGAACUGCCUUUGAAACUGCUUGGCUUGAGGCCGGGAGAGGGUAGCGGAAUUCCCAGUGUAGCGGUGAAAUGCGUAGAUAUUGGGAGGAACACCAGUGGCGAAGGCGGCUACCUGGACCGGUUCUGACGCUGAGGCGCGAAAGCGUGGGGAGCAAACAGGAUUAGAUACCCUGGUAGUCCACGCCGUAAACGACGGGUACUCGGUGUCGCGGGUAUCGACCCCUGCGGUGCCUUAGCUAACGCGUUAAGUACCCCGCCUGGGGAGUACGGUCGCAAGGCUG